Xylariaceae sp. FL0594 is the source of this 109-nucleotide non-coding RNA. Lineage: Eukaryota; Fungi; Ascomycota; Sordariomycetes; Xylariales; Xylariaceae. The record is from the annotation of a GenBank genome assembly.
GGCUAGGUGGCGGAGUGGUUAACGCGGUAGACUCGAAUAUACAGUUCUUCGCUGUAUAACGUGACAUCUACUUCCUUCGGGAGCGUCUGUUCGAAUCAGGCCCUAGUCG